GGUUCCAAUAGCAUUUAAAAUGACUCUCUCAGAUUCAGUGCUUUAAAUAUAUCACAAUCAGCUAGUUGUCAGCGACGCGACGUCGGUAGUGGUAACGAACCUGCGAGAAUUAAAUUCUGACUGGGAAUCAUUGUCAAAGCGAUGAAAUACUUCAACCUCCUGUGCGUCUUGUUUUUGAUGGGGAUCUUCCUGGGGAGCGUCUCCGUUGAGGCGAAAGCUGGUCGUUGCCCAAGCGUUCCACCAGAGACAUUUGGGUCUUGUGCUCAACGAUGCUCAGGAGACAACUCUUGUCCAGGCCGACAGAAGUGCUGCAGCAAUGGAUGCGGAAGAGCAUGCAAGAACCCCUACUAACUUCCCAAGAUUGGUUUGCAAGAUGAUCAGAUACACUCAAAGAUUGUGCUCAACGAUGCUCAGGAGACAACUCUUGCCCAGGCCGACAGAAGUGCUGCAGCAACGGAUGCGGAAAAGCAUGCGCUAACCCCUACUAACUUCCCAAGAUUGGUUUGAAGGAAGAUCAGAUACACUCAAAGAUACAUCUUGAGCAAUAAAAUGCAUUUGCGUUGAUAUUAA
This is a long non-coding RNA of Bemisia tabaci, 570 nucleotides long. RefSeq lists it as uncharacterized. NCBI's taxonomy places the organism in Eukaryota, Metazoa, Arthropoda, Insecta, Hemiptera, Aleyrodidae. The record is from RefSeq and is a predicted model, not a curated record.